AAGAUUGGCUAGUGCAAUGUAAUGCUGACGAGUCAUGUGACGUUGAUGUGCGGGAAACGAGAACCGGAUCCGAAUGAGGCAGUAAUCAUUUCUCUUUAAUUAAAUUGGUUUAUCUUAUAAAUGAGAUAAACCGUAUUAAUCAAAGAAUCAAGUUUCAGGCAAAAACAUAACAAACAAAUAUCUAAUGUGGAAAUAACGGCCACAGUUCACUUAGAAUGACGAGAUCUGACAUGAUUACAGAAUGCCGACAUGAUUGAUUUAACUGACAAAUCUGUGCACCAUUGGUAGCAAUGGAUGCUCAAGUUCCUCAAGGUUCAGCCUAAAGAGAACGAGGGUUAUGAUCCCCAAAUACGUCGGGUCUUAUUCGCAUCACCCCCUGGUUUCAGGGGAGUAAAGAUUAACAGUUUCUAUAACAUAAAACUAUAUAUGCACACUGAAUACAUAGGCCAUACUAUGUAUCAUAAAACAGUCAAGCUCGAACUGGUACCAAUUCAGAACCGGCCACUCAGGGUAGACAUGAGAUGGUCUCAACAGAACUUCCUGCGGUACCGCAGGAAAGUAAAAACCUAAUAUGAUCCGACGUACAAUUACGGGAAACGAUCAUAACCCCUUAAUCUUGCCACUUGAGUGAGUCUAUACACACUCAUCAGACCCCCCCCCCCCUUUCCACAACCUAAAGGUCCAUUUAAGUGAACUAGCUAAGAAGGCAUAAGUCUUUGUUAAUACGUUUGAAUCUUGGACAAUCAUAGUUUUCCUUUUGUAAUAGCUUUGUUAUAAUGGUGCUGUUAUCCUUCCAUAAUAUCCCCUCAGCUGCAGAGAGAUUUGUUUUUGAAGAUAUCACUUCUUUUAUUGUAUUAUCCAUGUUAUAUAUAUAUAUUUAAAUCAUCAUAAAAACGCAAUAUUUUAGCAGUAAUACAUCCACCGAUCAAUGGGUUUACUAAAAGAGUUAUCUCGCCUCAACCGGCUUAGUUGAACAAAUUUAUUCUAAAGCACUUAUGUUUGGUACUUAUACUUAAAAUAUUUUUAAUAUAUAUAAUGCGAUAAAUCAGAUAGUUUCUUCAAGAGAUACACAGUCUAAUAAAUAAAAUUGAACAUCUGUGUACAAAUUCAGAGAUUUGGGUAAUAACUAGACUGAUUGGUCACUGCAAAAGUACAAUGCAAGAUGGUGGUAUACCAUGAAUCUACCCAAUUGCUUUGUUAAUCUGUAAUAGGCACUAAUAUUAGUUUUCCAUUCUCAAUUUUAUUAUCCUCUACAAAGUUUACGAAAAUACAUUACCUGUAUAUAUAAUUUAUGCUAUUCUAGGCACCCCUUCAAAGUCGUGUACAUUUGAAUAUAUAUUUAGUUUAAACAAGUAACGUGACCAAUAUUUUGAAACCCAACGGCAGGGAUGUAUAACCAUAUAACGUACACUUAAAAAAAAAUAAAAUUUCAUAUCAAUCAAUAUAUAUAGAAAGUAUAACACUUCCUGUACUAAAUCGGCAAUCACAUGCAUUCCUAGUACUAGUACUUAAAAUUCGGAUACAGUUCCAUGGUAUUACUUUAAGUAAUGGGUGUAUAUAGAUGCAUAGUUGAUUAAUUCCGACUAGAAUUAAAAAGAUUCAGCUCUGUAUAUAGAUAAGAAUGCUAAAUGUUCCUUUUAAUAGAAGGAAAUAGAUCAAGAGUAUUUGAAAUAAAUUUAAAAUUCAUUGAGUCUCCCAUCUGGAUAAUAUGCGUGUUUGUUUGUAAAAGUCCUUAACAGUAACUUAAAUACCGCAUAUUUGUUUUGUUUCUAAAAAUAGACGUGGGGAAGCCCAUAGUUCGUGCUGACAUGUAAAAUAAAUGUGAUAGUAAAAUACAAAGGUAUCCUCAAUGUUUACAUACCCGUGUUAGAUGAUGAUACAAUCAAAAUAUUAAAAACACUACAUGUAUAUAUACAAUAACAUUAUCGCACUUCAAAGUAAAGAGGAUAUUGUGUACCAUGCUCUGUCUGCUGCUUCGUGAGUUUAUAAAGUAAUUUGAUAAUUGUGUUAAAAGUGCACAUAAUUCCCUUAUUUGCUCUAAGUUGACUUGUUGGUAAACUAAUUGCCCUGUCCACGAGCUUUAGUGAGCUAUCUGAAACCUAUACAGACUAACAGAUCAUAUGUUAAGGUCUUUUUUUUUAAAUAUCAACUCAGCUUUGCUUGUAUAACUAUAUUUGCUUGAAUAACUAUAUUAACUCUAUUUGCCUAAGUCAGAAAAUUUACGGUCGGACAUGAUAUGUAUGAUUCAACAACGUAAACAUGAGCUCUGUAGAUCUCUCAAGUUCAACUGACUUGAUAUUUUAAUUUAUAUAAAAAUCAACUAUCAAAUUUUAUAUAAGCAUAUUUUACAACAAGAAC
This 2358-nucleotide long non-coding RNA is filed under the name Mytilus galloprovincialis (Mediterranean mussel). Lineage: Eukaryota; Metazoa; Mollusca; Bivalvia; Mytilida; Mytilidae. The record is from RNAcentral.